GCGCAUGUGUGAAGCCGGACACGCGCUGUCGUCACCAUAGCAACAGUUUGUUGUGGUCUGCGGCAGAAGAUGAGACUCAAGCGGUUUCUUCUCAGAUAUUAUCCACCCGGUAUAAUCCUGGAAUAUGAGCGAGGAGGCUAUUCGAGGACCAAAUCCAUCGAUCUUCUGGAUUUGACACCUGAAACAAAUACAGAUCAGCUGGUGUCAGAAAUCAGACAAUCAGAGCCUCUGAUCACAGAGUCCCGGGCCGAACAGGUCAAAGAGUUGGUUCUCCGACUCCAACAGAAACAGGGUCAGCAGGACCACCACAGGUUCUGUUUCUGCAAGGAGCUGAAGGCACACAUACUGCCUCUGACCAAUAUUGCCUUUGAUAAAUCUGGAUCAAGGUUCAUAACUGGAAGUUAUGACAGAACAUGUAGAGUUUGGGACACCGCCUCCGGCGCAGAGCUGCACACACUCGAGGGUCACAGGAACGUUGUAUAUGCAAUCGCGUUCAACAAUCCCUAUGGAGACAAGAUUGCCACAGGCUCUUUCGACAAGACCUGCAAACUGUGGUGUGCGGAGACGGGCAAAUGUUUUCAUACUUUUUGUGGACACCGGGCUGAAAUAGUGUGUCUGGCAUUCAACCCUCAGAGUACACUGGUGGCCACAGGCAGCAUGGAUGCCACCGCAAAGCUGUGGGAUGUGGAAAGUGGGGAGGAGGUGGCCACACUGACUGGCCACACCGUAGAUGUCCUCUCUUUGUGCUUUAACACUGUUGGCAAUCAUCUUGUCACUGGCUCCUUUGAUUACACAGUUGCUAUAUGGGAUGUUGCUUCCAAAAGACGCAUUCACACUUUGAUAGGUCACAUGGGAGAAAUUAGUAACGUUCAGUUUAACUGGGAUUGUUCUCUCAUAGCCUCUGGUUCCACUGACAAGACCUGUAAGCUGUGGGACGCGGUCAGUGGGAAAUGUGUGGCCACCCUAGUCGGACAUACAAAGGAGGUGUUGGAUGUGUGUUUUGAUUUAAGCGGUCAGCUUAUUGCUACAGCUUCCGCUGAUGGUUCAGCAAAAAUAUUUAAUGCGGCUACACAUCAGUGUCUGGUGACACUGAAGGGCCACGGCGGGGAAAUCUCCAAGAUUUGUUUCAGCCCCCAGGGCAGCAGGGUCCUGACGGCCAGCUCAGACAAGACAGCCCGGCUGUGGGACGUUCAGUCCGGAGCCUGCCUUCAAAUCCUGGAGGGCCACACGGACGAGAUCUUCUCCUGUGCCUUCAACUACGAGGGGGACACCAUCAUUACAGGUAUCUGAAGAGACGCGACGUCGCGCUGUCGCAUGUCAGCGUGACAAACGUGCACUUUCAAAAAUCCUUGAGGGGCAGCAAGGACAACACAUGUCGGAUCUGGUACUGACCCUUCCCUCGGCUCCCGCCCCCCCGAGAAAGUGAAAAAAGAUGUUUUUAAAUUCUUUUCUUUUUUGUAAAUCAAAGGCUUAAAUGAUCGUUUUAUUUACACGCAGAGCAGUUGAAUUAGGUGUUUCCAAAAUAGUAUUGAAAGGUCACCUAUUGAAAUUUGGUCUCAGAGUAUUAAACAAGCUUCUAGGAGAGUUAUUCAUCUAUUAAAAUUAAAAUGAAAUGAAAGCACACCCUCCAUUUUAAGAGUUUAGCACGUUAAACGAUCUGAGUUUCAACAGGUAUUUAUAAAGUUCAAAUUGCACAGAUUUAUACUUGACAUAUUCCAUCAUGUCAUGCAUGAAACAAUGAUAAAGCUAAAAGGGAUUUGUGGGAAAAAAAAGACUAAAACACAGUCAUCUUAGUAAAGAUGGAGACUUGCGUCUUCAUUUUAGUCGCAAAAGCAGAGACUUUUUGAGGAAAUCUUGUACUGAUGCAGUAGAGCUGAAAGUAAGCUAUUGACUAGAUAUCUUUUGAAUAAAUGAUUAAUGUUG
Molecule: RNA transcript, 1923 nt
Organism: Poecilia latipinna (sailfin molly)
Lineage: Eukaryota; Metazoa; Chordata; Actinopteri; Cyprinodontiformes; Poeciliidae
Gene: daw1
Gene name: dynein assembly factor with WDR repeat domains 1
Exons: 13
Source: RefSeq, a predicted model, not a curated record